UACGUAGGGUGCAAGCGUUACUCGGAAUUACUGGGCGUAAAGCGUGCGCAGGCGGUUUUGUAAGUCUGAUGUGAAAUCCCCGGGCUCAACCUGGGAAUUGCAUUGGAGACUGCAAGGCUAGAAUCUGGCAGAGGGGGGUAGAAUUCCACGUGUAGCAGUGAAAUGCGUAGAGAUGUGGAGGAACACCGAUGGCGAAGGCAGCCCCCUGGGACAAGAUUGACGCUCAUACGCGAAAGCGUGGGGAGCAAACAGG
This 253-nucleotide ribosomal RNA is filed under the name uncultured bacterium. Its description in RNAcentral is "partial 16S ribosomal RNA". It matches the Rfam family "Bacterial small subunit ribosomal RNA", at positions 524 to 776 of the family's 1533-position model. The record is from RNAcentral.